Long non-coding RNA from Dicentrarchus labrax (European seabass), 314 nucleotides. RefSeq lists it as uncharacterized. The record is from RefSeq and is a predicted model, not a curated record. The transcript has 3 exons. Lineage: Eukaryota; Metazoa; Chordata; Actinopteri; Moronidae.
GACAGACAGAGAGAGAGACAGACAGAGAGAGAUAAAGAGACAGACAGAGAGAGAGAGUGUGUGUACAGUGUGUGUACAGUGUGUAUACAGUGUGUGUACAGUGUGUAGUACAGUGUGUAGUACAGUGUGUAGUACAGUGUUACAGUGUGUAGUACAGUGUGUACAGUGUGUAGUACAGUGUGUAGUACAGUGUGUAUACAGUGUGUGUACAGUGUGUGUACAGUGUGUAGUACAGUGUGUACAGUGUGUAGUACAGUGUGUAGUACAGUGUGUAGUACAGUGUUACAGUGUGUAGUACAGUGUGUACAGUGUGU